AAGUUUUUUAUUGUGUUUUCAAAACAUAAUUUGAAUAUAUUGUUCGUGACUUG
Molecule: transfer RNA, 53 nt
Filed under: Camallanus cotti
Lineage: Eukaryota; Metazoa; Nematoda; Chromadorea; Rhabditida; Camallanidae
Description: tRNA-Trp
Source: RNAcentral